This 449-nucleotide ribosomal RNA is filed under the name uncultured bacterium. RNAcentral describes it as "partial 16S ribosomal RNA". It matches the Rfam family "Bacterial small subunit ribosomal RNA", at positions 29 to 523 of the family's 1533-position model. The record is from RNAcentral.
AACGAACGCUGGCGGCAUGCCUAACACAUGCAAGUCGAACGAGACCUUCGGGUCUAGUGGCGCACGGGUGCGUAACGCGUGGGAAUCUACCCUUGGGUUCGGAAUAACAGUUAGAAAUGACUGCUAAUACCGGAUGAUGACGUAAGUCCAAAGACUUAUCGCCCAAGGAUGAGCCCGCGUAAGAUUAGCUUGUUGGUGGGGUAAUGGCCUACCAUGGCGACGAUCUUUAGCUGGUCUGAGAGGAUGAUCAGCCACACUGGGACUGAGACACGGCCCAGACUCCUACGGGAGGCAGCAGUGGGGAAUAUUGGACAAUGGGCGAAAGCCUGAUCCAGCAAUGCCGCGUGGAGGAUGACGGCCUUUGGGUUGUAAACUCCUUUCGGUGGUGACGAUAAUGACGGUAGCCACAGAAGAAGCACCGGCUAACUACGUGCCAGCCGCCGCCGUAA